CCAUCAAAGAAAACUCUGAGAGCGGGGCUCUUACUGUGAAAGACUUGCAGCUUGAGGACAGCGCUGUGUACUUCUGUGCCGUCAGUAAACACAGUGAUGUGACAAGUCUGAGCAGCUGAACAAUAACUGGUUGCCAACACAUUUGACAGGAGGACAACAUGCCAACAUUAUUCCUUUUGUCUUGGCUCAUUGGAGUUUGUCUGGGUGAUGAAGUCUACCAAACUCCUCCAGAACUUCUCAGAAGACCUGGAGACAAAGUCGAGCUGGUCUGCAGCCAUGAAAGGACCGACUACACAGUCAUGCAGUGGUACCAGAAAUCUGCUGGAGACCGAGCUCUGAAACGCAUUGGACAUGUGUAUUACAGCAACAUAGAGCAGGAGAAGUCUUUCAAAGAGCAUUUUAACAUCACUGGAGAUAUGAGUGGAGACGGAGCAAAGAACGGCUCUCUGGUUAUAUACAACCUGAAGGCCCCUGAGCACAGUGCGGUGUACUACUGUGCAGCUAGCAGGGCACACUGACUGAACAUCCCCUCU
This is a non-coding RNA of Perca fluviatilis (European perch), 533 nucleotides long. The record is from the annotation of a RefSeq genome assembly. NCBI's taxonomy places the organism in Eukaryota, Metazoa, Chordata, Actinopteri, Perciformes, Percidae.